Harmonia axyridis is the source of this 2178-nucleotide long non-coding RNA. RefSeq lists it as uncharacterized. The transcript is spliced from 3 exons. Lineage: Eukaryota; Metazoa; Arthropoda; Insecta; Coleoptera; Coccinellidae. The record is from RefSeq and is a predicted model, not a curated record.
AACUUCUUUUUCCACUAAAUAUAGUUCAAUAAAGUUUUGCUUUUUGCAUGAAUGUAGAAAAAUAAAAUUAUGGGUAUGGAAUGCUGAUAACAAAUGAAUAGGAAGUGUGUAUAUUUUUGGAAUGAGAUAUCUGGUGGUGACUUUGGACAAUAUCAUUACUAAGACUUUGGGGACAGAUAAUUUUUUCGUGUAAUUAUAUAAAGCGUUGUGCAUGUUCAGUUUAUUCAGGAGAGCGAUAGACAUUCAAGCUAGGGAUAUGAAGAAAAAGGCCAAGCUUUUAAAAAAGCUGACCAUGUUUACAAUAUAUGAAGCGGACUGGUUUCAUUAUUUCUAAAUAAAUGAGACAGACUUCAGUGAAUUUUCCACCUUAUUAUAUCGAAAUUAUGUAAUGGAUAAAGCAUAAAGCAGAAGAAAUUUACUCCUUCAAGGGUAUCGACUGGGACAUCAGUGUCCCAGAAGUAUUUUAUAAAUGUCCUGUUUGGCAAUAAAUAUACCCAGCAUGGAAUUAAUUGGGAAUAUAAAGCCAGAUCAGUGUAUUCAAGUUUCAGAGAAAAAAAUACCAUAUUCAGGAAAAGGACUUGAAGUUUGUCAGUCGGACCCGAGGCUUGUUGCUUUUCUGAAUGGUGUUAUUUUCAAGAACGGGGAGUCAGUGAAAUUAUUGGAAAUCAAAUGUCUAUUCAUUGGUAAAAUUAUUUCUGCUGAAAAUACUGAGCACCACUGCCAAUAUUUGAGAAGAGGAAAAGCCAGCUAAUUUGAAAGAAUGAAUAAACAUUAUGCUAGAGUCUGAUUAAGUAUGGCACUUAUGAAUUUGAAAAAUUGUGACUCUAUCGUGUUCUCAUCUGGUGAUAAGACGUUCAAAACUGUUCAUAAUUCUUAAAACUUGAAAUGAUUUAUUUUAAGAAUAUGCUCUACACAUUGUGUAGCAUGAAAGUUAAAAUUUUUCAAUUAGAAAGAUAUUUUUCCAAGUCUUAAUUGUGCUGUAAUAAGACCAUCCAGAAUAAGAAAAGUUCCGAAUCAUACAGGUCUGAAGUUAUACAUGUUAUAACUUCCAGAUUAUUCAAAAAUUUGAGUCCAGUUGUUAUUAGUAAGAGAGUAAAGGAUUUGCUAUUGGAUCAUACAAUAUACAGGUUGAGUGAUUUAUUUAGGAAUCAUUUUUGUAAAUAUUAUUUGAUAAUUUGUAACUACAAACAUGCUCUCGGGGGAUUAGUCGACCCCAGCCAUGCCAAGGUCUGUGCUGGCAUGGUUCACCGCAGCCUCCUCGGGGCGAGAGUUGGACAGUGAUCGACUGACAAUCACCAAUGCGGUGCGACUCCCCAUACCCUGCUGUAGUGUCGUGGCUUGGGGUAUUGCACGGGGUUUACGAUGCCAGGUAUGCAAGGGAUCAGCACCUUCAUGCCUGAUAUACCGACAUGUGGAAUCUGAUGUCUGUGGUCAUGUCUCGCGAGCAGAGGACACAUGCCGGGGGAUUUGGCUUAACCGCCUGAACCGAGUGUAUGAAAGACACAAUAAAAACUUUCCCCAAGACAAAGUGGAACAGCGUAUGCCGAAGUCUGCGUGGCUAGUGGGAGGAUCUAGUCCUGAAUAUGCGAACUCCAGAUACCAGGCGACCUCUGGUUUAAUUGGCAUUCCAGGGGCAUGCGGGGCUCUGCCUUUGGUGACUGAAAUUCCAUAGCUGCACGUGGGACUUCAUAUGGACCAGAUAGUAGAAAAAGAAGGGCCUAGCACUAGCCCUAAUGUGCUAAUUGAGGAAGAACAGAGCCUCACUCAGCCUGAGGAACAGGAGGCAAUUCCUGACCCCAUGGCGGAGGAAAUGCUGCUGAAGAGCGGCGAUGAAGAGGUCGUAGCUGGCCUUGAAAAGCUGACGGUCAGGAGACCUAGACUCUCCAGGCCGCCAGAAAGAGGAUGAAGUUUCUCCUCAAGAAAGGGAUGGUUCCUGACGAUGCCAGGAAAGAAGCCUCCAAACCAAUUGGUCCAAGGCAGACAACAAGCCGAGGGACCAAUAGAACUAGGUCGGAGGACAGCACGCCUAAGAGUGCCAAAUGUGAGGCUUCAAAAGUCGCACGGUCCUCAGGAGCUUCCAGGGCUCAGCCCUUAGGAACUCCCAAGGUUCCUGCAUCAGGUGGGCCCACCUACAGCCAGGUUACCGCUGGUCUGAAGGUGGGGAUAAUGCACAAAGUU